UCAAGAUGUAGCUUAACCAACCAAAGCACCCGGCCUACACCCGGAAGAUUUCUCAUCAUUAGAACAUCUUGA
This 72-nucleotide transfer RNA is filed under the name Sundasciurus altitudinis. RNAcentral describes it as "tRNA-Val". The record is from RNAcentral. Lineage: Eukaryota; Metazoa; Chordata; Mammalia; Rodentia; Sciuridae.